This is a long non-coding RNA of Pseudoliparis swirei, 602 nucleotides long. RefSeq lists it as uncharacterized. The record is from RefSeq and is a predicted model, not a curated record. Lineage: Eukaryota; Metazoa; Chordata; Actinopteri; Perciformes; Liparidae. The transcript is spliced from 3 exons.
UAAAGUGUAACCUGCCUCUACUUUCUCAUCUGUCUGCGUAGCGCUGUCUGUUGAGACGUAAUGUUUACCGCCGAGAAUGCAUAGAUUUGAUUGGCUGAGUGGUAUCACGUGGGAUGGCUUAACUCGCAUGCAAUUGGUCUGUGCGUUUCCGCAUCCGCUAAACCACUACCGUAAAGACUGCAAAAGCUGCGCCGCGCCGCCGGGUAAAAAAAUUAAAACACCCCGUCAGGUUUUAAAUCAUAACCUUCUGUUUUGGCUGGUGGUCCGGGUCCGGAUGGGACGGCCUCUGGGUCCGGACCCGGACCGCGGUCCGCCAGUUAGUGACCUGUGGUAUAAACCAAGCAGAUUAGUGCUAAUAAAGAAAUACAAACAUGGGAGGAGCUUCCACACCCCCAGCCCGCCCACUGAGGUGAACUGCCCCAGAGCCGUCUCCAGGAAGAAGAGAGGAGUCCCAGCAAACACAAGGGUCAAAAAGUACGGGAUCAGAAAGGCCCCUGAUGGAUCAUCACAAAAUAAGGAAACCUCCAGACAUUUCCCAGGCCAAUGGCAUAUCCCACGCAUGACAGAAGGAAAUCAAACCUUCCCUUCCAGCUGCCCCUGUC